RNAcentral lists this ribosomal RNA (261 nucleotides) under uncultured bacterium. Its description in RNAcentral is "partial 16S ribosomal RNA". It matches the Rfam family "Bacterial small subunit ribosomal RNA", at positions 793 to 1055 of the family's 1533-position model. The record is from RNAcentral.
GUCCAUGCCGUAAACGUUGGGCACUAGGUGUGGGGCUCAUUCCACGAGUUCCGCGCCGCAGCUAACGCAUUAAGUGCCCCGCCUGGGGAGUACGGCCGCAAGGCUAAAACUCAAAGGAAUUGACGGGGCCCGCACAAGCGGCGGAGCAUGCGGAUUAAUUCGAUGCAACGCGAAGAACCUUACCAAGGCUUGACAUACACCGGAAUCAUGCAGAGAUGUGUGCGUCUUCGGACUGGUGUACAGGUGGUGCAUGGUUGUCGU